UUUAUUGCUGCUCUGCUCUUUCUUCAUCCACAGACAGCUCACAUGCAUUUUGCAUCCUAUUUAUAGAUUUAUUGAUAAUACUAUUCCAUCAGCAUGCCAGAAUGGUAGAUAGAUACAGCUGAAUAUAAUUUGAGCAAAUAUUAGAUGCUUUUAAAACUAAGAUUUGCAUCCUUCUUCUGUCUCAUCGUGUAAUUUGUCAUCCAGGGCAACAGAGCUUUCCAAUAAUGGGAUAUCUCAUAUUUCUUCAAAGAAAGAGAAUGGCAAUAUUUGCCACCUACAUGAUCACCAACAGUUCAUGCGCCAGAGGAAAACAUUUAUUUUGCUGAAUACAUAAUCCAAAAUUUGGAUGAAAUUGGACAUGCUACUUCAGCAAAAAAUACAGAAGUAACCAUCACUUGCUACAAACACUUUCUAAGAAUCAAGAAUGAUUUGGACACCCAUCCUUUAGCCACCUGCCUGCUAUUUUUCCUGGUCACCUCCCACAAGUUAUGAAUAUGUUAUUUAGUGUCUAUAUUACACUGAUAGCAGCCACAUCUUCAUCCACCAUGUGAUGGCCAGUUUGUACCUCUGUCAUUUCGGGAUAACACCCUGUGAUUUGCUGAUGCAACUGUGACUGUGCUGAAAGCUGGAUUGGUGAGUAGUUGUGCAUUAUAAUAAUACUUCUCAUAACGUACUCACGAAUGACUUUAUAAUCACCGCCAGUUUUAAUCCAUAA
Tympanuchus pallidicinctus (lesser prairie-chicken) is the source of this 715-nucleotide long non-coding RNA. RefSeq lists it as uncharacterized. NCBI's taxonomy places the organism in Eukaryota, Metazoa, Chordata, Aves, Galliformes, Phasianidae. The record is from RefSeq and is a predicted model, not a curated record. The transcript has 3 exons.